RNAcentral lists this unclassified non-coding RNA (189 nucleotides) under uncultured fungus. RNAcentral's name for it is "sequence contains ITS1". Lineage: Eukaryota; Fungi. The record is from RNAcentral.
GUUACAAAGUUAAUUGUUUCGACGUUCUAUAAGUUUUUGUAGUGUAUAAUUAAGAGUAAGAGCCUUACGACUCUUUCUCUCUUCAAAAGUGCACAGGGGUGAAGUGGGAUAAGAACUGCGUGCACAUGCCCGAAGGCCAGCACAGCAGUGAUCUCAAUAAUGAUCCUUCCGCAGGUUCACCUACGGAAA